This 510-nucleotide ribosomal RNA is filed under the name uncultured bacterium. RNAcentral describes it as "partial 16S ribosomal RNA". It matches the Rfam family "Bacterial small subunit ribosomal RNA", at positions 28 to 507 of the family's 1533-position model. The record is from RNAcentral.
GACGAACGCUGGCGGCGUGCUUAACACAUGCAAGUCGAACGAAGAGCGAUGGAAGCUUGCUUCUAUCAAUCUUGGUGGCGAACGGGUGAGUAACGCGUAAUCAACCUGCCCUUCAGAGGGGGACAACAGUUGGAAACGACUGCUAAUACCGCAUACGAUCCAAUCUCGGCAUCGGGACUGGAUGAAAGGUGGCCUCUAUUUAUAAGCUAUCACUGAAGGAGGGGAUUGCGUCUGAUUAGCUAGUUGGAGGGGUAACGGCCCACCAAGGCGAUGAUCAGUAGCCGGUCUGAGAGGAUGAACGGCCAAAUUGGGACUGAGACACGGCCCAGACUCCUACGGGAGGCAGCAGUGGGGAAUCUUCCGCAAUAGACGAAAGUCUGACGGAGCAACGCCGCGUGAGUGAUGACGGCCUUCGGGUUGUAAAGCUCUGUUAAUCGGGACGAAUGGUUCUUGUGCGAAUAGUGCGAGGAUUUGACGGUACCGGAAUAGAAAGCCACGGCUAACUACGUG